Molecule: long non-coding RNA, 842 nt
Organism: Protopterus annectens (West African lungfish)
Lineage: Eukaryota; Metazoa; Chordata; Ceratodontiformes; Protopteridae
Exons: 3
Source: RefSeq, a predicted model, not a curated record
UUGUGCUUGAAUAUAGGAAUGCUUAUUCAAGUUACAUCUUUCUCUAUCUCUCUUUCCUGGUUAGGCAUGCAUUGAAGAAACAACCAUGCAGUUGCUUAGGAUGUGAAAUUAAUACACAGAUCAAACUACAGCUGAAGAGUGGCAUCCAGACAGGAUUGCACAAAAAUGCAGAGCAUAUAAAUGAACAAUUGAGCAGCAGCUGGUUUGAUAAGCGAAGAUGUGUGUUAUCCGGCAUUUUCUUUGUUAUUUCUUUGACUAUGGUACGCACUCUACAAUCCAGCAAUGACUAUCAUGUUAAGAACUGCAGAAAUGCACAGGGCCCAUAUUGUGGCUAAGAAGAACAUGUUGGAUCAGCUUACUAUAUCGAAAUAAUCAAUAUCAAAUGUGACAGCAUUACUGAAAGUAUCCCUGUUCAGCAAAAAGUAUGGAAGCUAGAAGGCAUGUGGCUAAAAUGCCUAGGACUGUCACUAAUUGUAUAGGAAAUAACCAUAAAGAAAGAUGUAUUUUACAAAAGCUUUGUCAUACUUAAAACAGUAAUGUAAAUUAACCUAGAAAAAGCUAUGUAAUUAUGAAAGACUACAAGUUGUUUCUAGAAAAUACUAUGGUGAGAAGGAUGUGCCCGUUCAAACAGGGCUGAUAAUAAUAGCUAGAGGAAAACUUUUGCAAUGGAUAUUUAAAUGUAGGGGAAAAAUCAGUAGUAGAGGUACAUCAUAAGGAUAUAUUUAAAGACUCGCAUAGUAAAGGAAUUCAUAAAAUUUCUGACUAUGUGGAUUGUAAUAAUGACAAGCUGGAUGAUUUAAAAAGUUGUACUUGCAAAUAAUUUUAUAAAAACAAAAGUAAAA